AAAAUCCGUCGACUUUAAAAAUCGUGAGGGUUCAAGUCCCUAUCCC
RNAcentral lists this transfer RNA (46 nucleotides) under Crescentia cujete. Its description in RNAcentral is "partial tRNA-Leu". Lineage: Eukaryota; Viridiplantae; Streptophyta; Magnoliopsida; Lamiales; Bignoniaceae. The record is from RNAcentral.